AGAUUAUAUAAAAAAGUUAAAUUUAAUAACCUGUGUAUGGCUCGGGCAAAAUAGUUUAUACAUUCUCUUUCGAAUCCAAAAACAACAUUUAAGCUAUUCCCAAAAGUUGCUACAUGCCUUAAAAUUUGUAUGAAACACUUCCUAGAGAAUAGAGAUAAUAAGCGAUCCAUCUCAUAUGGUUGUUGUCCCGAAAGUUACUACAUACCUUAAAAUUUGUAAGAAACACUUCCUAGAGAAAAGAGAUAAUAAGCAAUCAUCUCAUAUGGCUGUGAUGUAGAGAAAAAGAGGAAAGAAG
RNAcentral lists this long non-coding RNA (295 nucleotides) under Lupinus angustifolius (narrow-leaved blue lupine). RNAcentral's name for it is "long non-coding RNA (LANG_LNC001362)". Lineage: Eukaryota; Viridiplantae; Streptophyta; Magnoliopsida; Fabales; Fabaceae. The record is from RNAcentral.